CACGUAGUUAGCCGUGGCUUUCUGAUUAGGUACCGUCAAGAUGUGCACAGUUACUUACACAUUUGUUCUUCCCUAAUAACAGAGUUUUACGAGCCGAAACCCUUCAUCACUCACGCGGCGUUGCUCCGUCAGGCUUUUCGCCCAUUGCGGAAGAUUCCCUACUGCUGCCUCCCGUAGGAGUCUGGACCGUGUCUCAGUUCCAGUCGUGGCCGAUCACCCUCUCAGGUCGGCUACGUAUCGUCGCCUUGGUAAGCCGUUACCUUACCAACUAGCUAAUACGGCGCGGGUCCAUCUAUAAGUGAUAGCAAAACCAUCUUUCACUUUAGAACCAUGCGGUUCUAAAUAUUAUCCGGUAUUAGCUUCCGGUUCCCGAAGUUAUCGCAGUCUUAGUAGGUAGGUUACCCACGUUGUUACUCACCCCGUCCGCCGCUAACUUCGAAAGAGCAAGCUCCUUAUCUGUUCGCUCGACUUGCUAAUGUUAUUAGGCACGUCCGCCUAGCCGUUUCACUCCUGUACGCCAGGACUACAAAC
RNAcentral lists this ribosomal RNA (531 nucleotides) under uncultured Staphylococcus sp. RNAcentral describes it as "partial 16S ribosomal RNA". The record is from RNAcentral. Lineage: Bacteria; Bacillati; Bacillota; Bacilli; Caryophanales; Staphylococcaceae.